GAUGAACGCUAGCGAUAGGCUUAACACAUGCAAGUCGAGGGGUAACGUGUUGGAAGCUUGCUUCCGAUGACGACGACCGGCGGAUGGGUGCGUAACGCGUAUGCAACUUGCCUCACAGUGGAGAAUAACCCGGAGAAAUCCGGACUAAUGUUCCAUACACUCUUAAGUACGCCUGUACAUGAGAGGAAAGAUUUAUCGCUGUGAGAUAGGCAUGCGUCCUAUUAGGUAGUUGGUGAGGUAACGGCUCACCAAGCCGACGAUAGGUAGGGGUGCUGAGAGGCAGAUCCCCCACAUUGGGACUGAGACACGGCCCAAACUUCUACGGGAGGCAGCAGUGAGGAAUAUUGGUCAAUGGAGGAAACUCUGAACCAGCCAAGUCGCGUGAAGGAAGAAUGUCCUAAGGAUUGUAAACUUCUUUAGCGAGCGAGUAAGGACUUCCACGUGAUGGGAGUUUGAAAGUAGCUCGAGAAUAAGUAUCGGCUAACUCCGUGCCAGCAGCCGCGGUAAUACGGAGGAUACGAGCGUUAUCCGGAUUUAUUGGGUUUAAAGGGUGCGCAAGUGGUCUUGCAGUCAGUGGUGAAAAGCUGAGGCUCAACCUCAGCCUUGCCGUUGAAACUGUAAGACUUGAGAGUACAUGAUGUGGGCGGAAUGCGUAGUGUAGCGGUGAAAUGCAUAGAUAUUACGCAGAACUCCGAUUGCGAAGGCAGCUCACAAAGGUAUAUCUGACACUGAGGCACGAAAGCGUGGGGAGCGAACAGGAUUAGAUACCCUGGUAGUCCACGCCGUAAACGAUGAUUACUCGAAGUAUGCGAUAUGACAGUAUGCUUCCAAGCGAAAGUGAUAAGUAAUCCACCUGGGGAGUACGCCGGCAACGGUGAAACUCAAAGGAAUUGACGGGGGCCCGCACAAGCGGAGGAACAUGUGGUUUAAUUCGAUGAUGCGCGAGGAACCUUACCCGGGAUUGAAAUGUAUGUGAGCCUUUUGGGAAACCGAGAGGGUUCUCUUCGGAGACACAUAUGUAGGUGCUGCAUGGUUGUCGUCAGCUCGUGCCGUGAGGUGCCGGCUUAAGUGCCAUAACGAGCGCAACCCUUAUCGUCAGUUACUAACAGGUCAAGCUGAGGACUCUGGCGAGACUGCCGUCGUAAGGCGAGAGGAAGGUGGGGAUGACGUCAAAUCAGCACGGCCCUUACAUCCGGGGCGACACACGUGUUACAAUGGUAGGGACAGAGAGUAGCCACUCGGUGACGAGGAGCGGAUCUUGAAACCCUAUCUCAGUUCGGAUCGGAGUCUGCAACUCGACUCCGUGAAGCCGGAUUCGCUAGUAAUCGCGCAUCAGCCAUGGCGCGGUGAAUACGUUCCCGGGCCU
Molecule: ribosomal RNA, 1366 nt
Filed under: uncultured bacterium
Lineage: Bacteria
Description: bacterial SSU rRNA
Rfam family: Bacterial small subunit ribosomal RNA
Source: RNAcentral